AAGGAUCAUUACCUUUCAAUGCAGCAGAAUUGGGAUGGUUGAGUAUCUCGCCUCUCCGUUCUGCCUGUAUUCUACCCUUGUUUGUCAUAUACUAUUAUUUCCUCGGCAGGCUUGCCUGCCGAGUGAAGCCAUUUAUAACCUUUUUAAUUUUCAAUCAGCGUCUGAAAAAAAUUAAUAAUUACAACUUUCAACAACGGAUCUCUUGGUUCUG
This 211-nucleotide unclassified non-coding RNA is filed under the name uncultured fungus. Its description in RNAcentral is "partial contains 18S rRNA, ITS1, 5.8S rRNA, ITS2 and 28S rRNA". Lineage: Eukaryota; Fungi. The record is from RNAcentral.